GGCUGUGUGAUAUAGAAUAUGAAUGAUCCUUCUCUUCUUAUGUGUAUUCUGAGCAUUGUUGUAGAGACUCCAGCACGCUAAGGUUAUGAGUGCACAUUAUCUUGCGUGCGACUGUGUUAACCUUGGGGAGCAAACCCGGCACUGGAUUGCACCAAGGUCUGCCGGAAUUUUGCUUUCAAGGCAGUGGUUCGUCCACGGCGCAACUUUCCUUCUCUAAUUUCCAACAAUUUGAAAGCAAAAGUUUACUUUACUCUUGUUGGUGUCGAUGGCGAGCUGCUCAACAAAAUUAGGAAGUUGGGAAGCAAAUGACUUGAAAGAUAAGUAUCUCUUUGUUUCUUUCAUAAAAUAAUUCAAAUGCUCAGAAUGAGAAGAUGGAGAUGCAUUCUAAUUAUGUUCAUCUUCUCUACUUUUUGUAUGGAAGAGUGGUUUGUGAUGCCUGUGGGGGUUCUUCCCUUGGACAUGAAGACCUGGUCUUUUAAGGCAUCUGUGUAAGCGUCACUACCAUAAUGAGAAAAAUGGCCUUGGGCAAUGGCAUGUGAAACUAUGCUUCGAUGUAAGUUUGUGCUUGAGUUUCUGAUUCACAAGAAGCAAUUGAAGUUGGCAUCGACGAUGCUUGCAACAGAGAGAAAAGACAUAUACAUGUCAUGCAUGUUGCUAAGAAGUUGAUUAAGACUUGUUUGAUUUUCCUUGAGUAUGUAAGAAGAUAAAAGAGUCUUGUUGAUCUUCUUGCUAAAGGAUUGACCAAGAAAGUUGUCUUGGAUACAUCGAGGGGGAUGAGGCUUAAGCCUCCAGAAAGAAGAAAGUAUGGUGGAUACCCAAUUUGUUGGUCAAGCUAAGCCAUAUGAUUACUCUUAUGCAUUACAUUCUCAUCCCUAUGACGCGAGGUAAUGCUAUUUUUGAAAGAGAUACAUAGUCAUUUGUGGUGGUGCUAUUGAGACGCACUUGAUGUAUCUAAAGUGCUUUUGAGACGCACUUGACUUGAUUUUCAAAUAAAAUUAUAAAAUAGUUUAUUCA
Long non-coding RNA from Lotus japonicus, 1014 nucleotides. RefSeq lists it as uncharacterized. Lineage: Eukaryota; Viridiplantae; Streptophyta; Magnoliopsida; Fabales; Fabaceae. The transcript is spliced from 2 exons. The record is from RefSeq and is a predicted model, not a curated record.